RNAcentral lists this ribosomal RNA (412 nucleotides) under uncultured bacterium. Its description in RNAcentral is "bacterial SSU rRNA". It matches the Rfam family "Bacterial small subunit ribosomal RNA", at positions 290 to 694 of the family's 1533-position model. The record is from RNAcentral.
ACCUGAGAGGGUGAUCGGCCACACUGGGACUGAGACACGGCCCAGACUCCUACGGGAGGCAGCAGUAGGGAAUCUUCGGCAAUGGGGGCAACCCUGACCGAGCAACGCCGCGUGAGUGAAGAAGGUUUUCGGAUCGUAAAGCUCUGUUGUAAGAGAAGAACGUGUGUGAGAGUGGAAAGUUCACACAGUGACGGUAACUUACCAGAAAGGGACGGCUAACUACGUGCCAGCAGCCGCGGUAAUACGUAGGUCCCGAGCGUUGUCCGGAUUUAUUGGGCGUAAAGCGAGCGCAGGCGGUUUAAUAAGUCUGAAGUUAAAGGCAGUGGCUUAACCAUUGUUCGCUUUGGAAACUGUUAGACUUGAGUGCAGAAGGGGAGAGUGGAAUUCCAUGUGUAGCGGUGAAAUGCGUAGA